GAUGAACGCUAGCGGCAGGCUUAAUACAUGCAAGUUGAGGGGCAGCAUGAUAUACGUAAGUAUAUUGAUGGCGACCGGCGGACGGGUGAGUAAAAGGUAGGAGACCUACCUCAUACAGGGGGAUAGCAUAGAGAAAUCUGUGGUAAUACCCCAUGAGGUUAUAUGAAUAGAGGCAUAUAAUCAAAGUAUACGAGAGUAUGCGGUAUGAGAUGGGCCUACUGACCAUUAGCUAGUUGGUAAGGUAAGGGCUCACCAAGGCGAAGAUGGUUAGGGGUUUGAGAGAGAGAUCCCCCACAUUGGAACUGAGAUACGGUCCAGACUCCUACGGGAGGCAGCAGUAGGGAAUAUUGGGGCAAUGGGCGAAAGCCUGACCCAGCCAUGCCGCGUGAAGGAAGACGGCCUUAUGGGUUGUAAACUUCUUUACUAUACGAAUAGAGGUUAGUACGAGUUACUAAUAGGAAGUAGUAUAGCAAAAAGCACCGGCUAACUCCGUGCCAG
Molecule: ribosomal RNA, 498 nt
Filed under: uncultured bacterium
Lineage: Bacteria
Description: bacterial SSU rRNA
Rfam family: Bacterial small subunit ribosomal RNA
Source: RNAcentral